UACGUAGGGUGCGAGCGUUAAUCGGAAUUACUGGGCGUAAAGCGUGCGCAGGCGGUUCGUCGUGUCUGGUGUGAAAGCCCCGGGCUUAACCUGGGAAUUGCAUUGGAAACUGGCGGACUCGAGUGUGGCAGAGGGGGGUGGAAUUCCGCGUGUAGCAGUGAAAUGCGUAGAGAUGCGGAGGAACACCGAUGGCGAAGGCAGCCCCCUGGGCUGACACUGACGCUCAGGCACGAAAGCGUGGGGAGCAAACAGG
This 253-nucleotide ribosomal RNA is filed under the name uncultured bacterium. Its description in RNAcentral is "partial 16S ribosomal RNA". It matches the Rfam family "Bacterial small subunit ribosomal RNA", at positions 524 to 776 of the family's 1533-position model. The record is from RNAcentral.